GGCUUAAACAACAGAAAUCUAUUGUCUCAUACAUUUCAUCUGGAGGCUAGAAGUCCAAAAUCAAGGCAUCAGCAGAGCUGGUUCCUCCUGAGGCCUGUGAGAGAGAAUCUGCUCCACGCCGCACCCCUUGCUCCUUGUGGUUUGCUAGCAGUCUUUCGUGUUCCUUAGCUUGACGAUGUAUCACUCAAUCUCUGCCUUCAUCUUCAUGUGGUGUACUCCCUGUGUGUGUGUCUCUGUGUCCAAAUUUCCCCUUCUGAUGUGGACAUCUAUCAUAUUUGAUUAGGGCCCGCUCUGAUGACCUCAUUUUAACUUGAUUACCUCUGUUAUGACCCUGCCUCCAAACAAGGUCACAAUCUGAGGUUCAUUAACAUAUAAUUCUUGAGUAGAAACAAUUCAAUCCAUAGCAGCUUGCAUUUUUCUCACAUGUGAGAGGGAUCUUAGCCUGUGCCUCUUCCAUUAGAAGAUGAUGAUGGCCCUCAUUCGCUGAAGACUCGGGGCUAGCAACAACUGAAAUAAAAUAAAAUAAAACUAUUUUAAUGGAUGACAUAAUAGGUGGCUCCUUUUGAAGGGGAGGACAGAGUAUGGACCCUGGUGCUGAACUUAUUGGGUUCAAAUCCCAGCUCUGCCAUUGAGCAGCUGUGGAAUGUGGAGGAAAUUCGCAAACUCUCUGUAGCUCAGUUUCCUCAUUUGUCGUAAGGGGUGAAAAGAGAAUCUCCCUGAUGGAGUUGUGAGAAAUAAAUGAUUUAAUGUUUGUAUAUCCCAUGAACCACAGCCUGAAGCCUAGUAAGCCCUAUGUAAAUAUACUUAAAUUAAAACCAUAAGAAUUGUAGAGGAAGCUGACUGCUUUUAACUGCAUUGGAAUCCUUUUUAAAAAAUAACAAACUCAGGCCCACUGGUACACUGUGAAAGUCACAAGACCUCAACGGCAGCGUUUAAGGAGACAUUUGUCUCCUGCGGCCAUGGGGCAGACUGGAGUGAACAGCAGGUCCAGGGUCAAAGCCUCAGCAUGGCAGAGCUGUGAGAGCUGUAGGGAAGACUAAUCUGCAUCUUCAUAGGUUUUCUAUGCCAAAGUC
RNAcentral lists this long non-coding RNA (1073 nucleotides) under Homo sapiens (human). RNAcentral's name for it is "HSALNT0023480". The record is from RNAcentral. Lineage: Eukaryota; Metazoa; Chordata; Mammalia; Primates; Hominidae.